AAGGCCCCACCCGCUCUUCAUCGUGUGCCACUAGAAAACAAACGAGUCCCCAAGUGAGUUUUGCUGGAAACCAUAGCUCCGUGGAAAACGUGCUUCACACACACACACACACACACACACACACACACACACACACAUUUGCCGGAUAGGCUGAGGCCUGUGUGUCCCCGCCGUGUGGACGAGGGUCACAGGGGCCUGCUGGACAUCAUCUCCAUGGCAGAGACAGCGACGAUGCCGGAGCAGACCAGCUGGAGCUGGUGACUGUCCAGCUCUCGGGAAGUCUAGGUCCGGCAGGAGUAGAGCUCAGGUUCCUAUUUAUUUAUUUGAAAGUCAGAGUUAACACAGAGAGAGGAGAGGCAGACAAAGAGAGGUCUUUCAUCCAAUGGUUCACUCCCCAAUUGGCUGCAAUGGCUGGAACUGUGCCAAUCCAAAGCCGGCCCCUUUACAUUCACUUUCCAUGGACACAACUUCAGCCUCAAGGUUUCCUUUUUGGUGUUUAGUCAGUUGUCACCGAUCAGGGAGAACAUAUGAUAUUUGUCCCUUUGGGACUGGCUUAUUUCACUCAGCAUGAUGUGUUCCAGAUUCCUCCAUUUUGUUGCAAAUGACUGGAUUUCAUUGUUUUUUACUGUGGUAUAGUAGUUCUCCAUUCAAAUCUCGCCUUGUGUACUCCAUCAGAGAGGUCUCCCUUAUUCAGGCUGUCUGAAUUACAGAGUUCCCUGCCCUGUGGUUCUCUUUCUCCUCACUGCUCAGCAUUUCUGCAAAGCAGCUACCCUGAUAAGAUUCCAGGAAUGGGAAAUAGUCAACUGCACGUGUGGAUGCCAUAUCCUGUUUCUGUACUGCCCAUUCCUCCACAUCCAUGGCCAGCCUCGUGCAAUCAAACAUCUGCUUAUUUGAAAACAAUGACCAUCAGACUUGUUAGGCCUCC
This is a non-coding RNA of Oryctolagus cuniculus (rabbit), 925 nucleotides long. The record is from RefSeq and is a predicted model, not a curated record. Lineage: Eukaryota; Metazoa; Chordata; Mammalia; Lagomorpha; Leporidae.